Acanthosepion pharaonis is the source of this 96-nucleotide non-coding RNA. NCBI's taxonomy places the organism in Eukaryota, Metazoa, Mollusca, Cephalopoda, Sepiida, Sepiidae. The record is from the annotation of a GenBank genome assembly.
UUAAAACACCAGUUUUUGUACGAUCACCAAAGUUAAGCAACAUAGAGCCCGGUCAGUACCUAGAUGGGUGACUGCUUGGGAAUACCCAGUGCUAUA